This 299-nucleotide unclassified non-coding RNA is filed under the name Hevea brasiliensis (rubber tree). Lineage: Eukaryota; Viridiplantae; Streptophyta; Magnoliopsida; Malpighiales; Euphorbiaceae. The record is from RNAcentral.
AAUGCUGCGUAACUAGAGAUAACAACAAAAUCACCAGCGGUAGUGAAAACAAAGUGGCUCCCAACAAUGAUAAGAUAAAGCCUGCUCUUUUAUCCAAGUAUGGUCAGAGCCUACUGACAUGAAACAGCAAUAGCAGCAGAUUCCAAAAUUCUCCUAGCUUCCGUGUCUGGAUCUGGUAACUCACUUGGCUUCUUUCCAUAUGCGUUCGUUUUUGUAGCAGAAGCACCAGAAGCCAGCAGCAAUCUUAUAACAUCUGCAUGCUCACCUCUUGCUGCAUGGUGAAGAGGAGUAUCACCCUC